Molecule: ribosomal RNA, 274 nt
Filed under: uncultured bacterium
Lineage: Bacteria
Description: partial 16S ribosomal RNA
Rfam family: Bacterial small subunit ribosomal RNA
Source: RNAcentral
CUACGGAGGGAGCAAGCGUUAUUCGGAAUCACUGGGCGUAAAGGACGCGUAGGCGGGUUUGUAAGUCAGGUGUGAAAUCCUACAGCUCAACUGUAGAACUGCACUUGAAACUACAGACCUAGAGUAUGGAAGGGGCAGAUGGAAUUAGUGGUGUAGGGGUAAAAUCCGUAGAUAUCACUAGGAAUACCGAAAACGAAGGCGAUCUGCUGGGACAUUACUGACGCUGAGGCGUGAAAGCGUGGGGAGCAAACAGGAUUAGAAACCCCAGUAGUCC